GAAAUGCGAUAAGUAAUGUGAAUUGCAGAAUUCAGUGAAUCAUCGAAUCUUUGAACGCACCUUGCGCUCCCUGGUAUUCCGGGGAGCACGCCUGUUCGAGUGUCGUGAAACUAUCAAGCCAGGAUGCUUUCUUGCUUCCUGGUCUUGGUUUAUUGGGCUUUGCCGUGCCCCUUCAUUGGGAACGGCUGGCCUUAAAAGCAUUAGCUGACUCCAUGUGGUUAUUGGUAUUCUACUUGGCGUGAUAAUAAUCUGACCGCUGAGAAAGUGUCCUUUCGGGGAUGGCCAAUUUUCAUGUGGGGUUGCUCCUAAUCUCUGGAGCUUUCAUGUUCCAUUUUCAACUUUGGCCUCGAAUCAGGUGGGACUACCCGCUGAACUUAA
This 378-nucleotide ribosomal RNA is filed under the name Clavulina ornatipes. RNAcentral describes it as "eukaryotic LSU rRNA". The stretch from base 1 to 105 matches the Rfam family "5.8S ribosomal RNA", at positions 50 to 154 of the family's 154-position model. The record is from RNAcentral. Lineage: Eukaryota; Fungi; Basidiomycota; Agaricomycetes; Cantharellales; Hydnaceae.